GCCUGUUUUCACGGAGGGAAAAAUCAGACAUUUAUCAGCUGCCAGUUCAAAUGCCUUUUUAACAAGUCUCUCCCUCAUAAAACUCCAUUCACACUCUGAGAGCCAAAAAGCGGAGUGGAACCUCCCAUAGCCACAGCCAUAGUAAAAUCCUCUGCCAAGGUGUGCUAUUUUUCAAUCACCAGCAUUUUUGCGAAGCUAAGAAGAAAAAAAAGAAAAACGGCGACUACACUACAGCAGACUUGGCUGGAGUCCGGUGAACUCUAGAAGUGGAGGAUUUUUGGAUGUUUUCCACCAUUUCUUCAGCACUAUGCCAUAAACAUACAGACGGGAUACCA
Molecule: long non-coding RNA, 335 nt
Organism: Salarias fasciatus (jewelled blenny)
Lineage: Eukaryota; Metazoa; Chordata; Actinopteri; Blenniiformes; Blenniidae
Exons: 3
Source: RefSeq, a predicted model, not a curated record